This 280-nucleotide long non-coding RNA is filed under the name Lathyrus oleraceus (garden pea). Its description in RNAcentral is "Pisum sativum (pea) long non-coding RNA (PSAT_LNC039577)". The record is from RNAcentral. Lineage: Eukaryota; Viridiplantae; Streptophyta; Magnoliopsida; Fabales; Fabaceae.
UUGGUUUUAACAAAAUUUAAGUUUGAAAGGCACAAAGGCCUAAAAUGGUUUGAAUGAGUUAGUUACUUUUGGAUUUUUUGAAAGUUUAAGUCAAGUAUCGUUAAGUUUAUUCACAAGUUUGAUUUAAGAAAAUAAGUUUGAAAAUGCAAUGGCUUAAGGCCAAAGUUUCUAUCUUUUUUGCAAAAGUGGUUUAAGUUUAGAACAAAAGUAGUUCACACAAAGAAGGUUUUGAAAAUGGAGGGAGAGAUUUUGAAAUUAAAGAAAUGGGGAGAAGAUUGAG